This 3261-nucleotide ribosomal RNA is filed under the name Durio zibethinus. RNAcentral's name for it is "eukaryotic LSU rRNA". It matches the Rfam family "Eukaryotic large subunit ribosomal RNA". The record is from RNAcentral. Lineage: Eukaryota; Viridiplantae; Streptophyta; Magnoliopsida; Malvales; Malvaceae.
UGACCCUAGGUCAGGUGGGAUUGCCUGCUGAGUUUAAGCAUAUUAAUAAGUGGAGGAAAAAAAUACUUACUAGGAUUCCCCUAGUAAUGGUGAGCAAACUAGGAAGAGCCUAGCUUGAGAAUCGAGCACCCUUAAUGUCUGAAUUGUAGUAUAAACAAGCGUCCUCAGCGUUAGACUAGGCCUAAGUCCCCUAGAAAGGAGCAUCAGAGAGGGUGAGAGCCUUAUUAAGCUUGACCCUAUCGCAACAUGAAGUGCUACUUAAGGGUUGAGUUGUUUGGGAAUGCAGCCCCAAUUGGGUGAUAAAUUUUGUCCACGACUAAAUAUAGAUGAAAGACCGAUAGCAAGCAAGCAUUGCUAGGGAAAAAUGAAAAAAAACUUUGAAAAGAGAGUCAAAAAGUGCAUGAAAUCAUUAAAAAUAAAGCAGAUGGGGGUUAGUGAUGCACCCUAAUCGGAUAUGGAAUGGUGAGAGCUAGUCUGUUGAUCAUAUUAAGGUAUGGAUUGAUAUGGGUCACAGUGACGGCCCAAGCCCAUGCUUUUGAUAGGCCUAGGAACUCGUCAUCAUCAAAACAAUUGUGGAAUGUAGUAAGCACCAUCUCAGUUUGGCUUGACACUUACCUACUCCUGGUGUUAGCCUGUAAGCUCCCCAUCUAGCUUGUCUUAAAACACAGACCAAGGAGUUUGACAUAUGUGCGAGUCAAUGAGCUAGAAAACUCAUAGGGUGAUAGGAGGUUGAUUGGUGGGAUCCCUUACGAUUACACUAUUGAUUGACCUUGAUUGUUUUAGAAGGGUUUGAGUGUGAGCAUGCCUAUUGGGACUUGAAAGAUGGUGAACUGUGCCAAAGUGGGGUGAAGCUAAAGGAAACUCUAGUGGAGGCCUACAGCAACAUUGACAUGCAAAUCAUUCUUUUGACUUGGGUAUAAGGGUAAAAGACUAAUUGAACCGUCUAGUAACCGAUUCCCUCUGAAGUUUCCUUCAAGAUAGUUGGAGCCCUUAGCGAGUUUUAUCGAGUAAAGCAAAUGAUUAGAGGCAUCGAUGGUGCAAUGCCUUCUACCUAUUCUCAAACUUUAAAUAGGUAGGAUAGUGCAGCUACCCUUUUGAACCGUACCAUGAAAUCAAGAGUUCUAAAUGGGCCAUUUUUGGUAAGCAGAAUUGGUGAUGUGGGAUGAGCUGAAAGUUGGGUUAUGGUUUCAAUUGCAUUCUAACCUAGAAUCCACAAAGGAUGUCGGUCAAUUAAGAUAGUAAGAUGAUGGUUAUGGAAGUUGAAAUCUACUAAAGAGUGUGUAACAACUCAUUUGCCAAAUCAAUUAGCCUUGAAAAUGGAUGGUUAAUAGUGCACCCUAUACCCGACCUUCAGGGCAAGGGCCAAGCCUCAAUGAGUUGAAGGGCAUGGUGAUAACUAUAAAACCUAAGGUGUGAGCCCAGGUGAAGUGGCUGUCGAUGUAGAUCUUGGUGGUAGUAGCAAAUAUUCAAAUAAGAACUUUGAAGGCCAAAUAGGGGAAAGGUUCCAUGUGAACAGCACUUGCACAUAGGUUAGUCAAUCCUAAGAGAUAGGAGAAGCCCAUCCGAUAGCAUGUCUAGCAUGAGCUUUAAAAGGGAAUCAGGUUAAAAUUCUUAAAUCGAGACACGAUAGCUAAUGGUAACAUUAGGGAGGCUAGAGAUGUUAGUAGAGGCCUUGGGAAGAGUUAUCUUUUCUAUUUAAUGCCUUGCCCACCCUGAAAUAGCUCAGUGAUGUUAGGUUCCAGUGGCUAGAAAAGCACCACACAUUAUGUGGUGUUUGGUGCACCCUCGGUGGCUUUUGAAAAUCUGAAGAACCAAGUGCUAUCCAUGCUUAGUCAUACUUAUAAUCGCAUUAGGUCUCCAAGGUGAACAACCUUUAGUCGAUGGAACAAAUGUAGGUAAGGGAAGUCAGUAAAAUGGAUUCAAAACCUUGGGAAAAUGAUUGGCUCUGAAGGCUGGGUAUGAGGAUCCCAUUCUAAACUUAUUGGCUAUCGAUGCACUUUUGAGUUGCUCUCUCUAUGAGAGAGGGUCCUCACAUGCCGAUCGGGGGAUGGAUUAGGAACAGCUCCCUUAGAGCUUUCCCGAGUGAUGAAUAGUUGACUUAAAACUAGUACAAACAAAGGGAGUCUGACUAUUUAAUUAAAGCAAAGCAUUGUGAUGGUCCCUAUGGAUGCUCAUGCAAUGUGAUAUUUGCCUAGUGCUCUAAAUGUCAAAAUGAAAAAAUUCAACCAAGAGCGAGUAAAUGGCAAGAGUAACUAUAACACUCUUAAGGUAGCCAAAUGCCUCAUCAUCUAAUUAGUGAUGCAUGUGAAUGGAUUAACGAGAUUCCCAUUGUCUCUAUCUACUAUCCAACGAAAUCAUAGCCAAGGGAAUAGGCUUGGUGAAAUUGAUAGGGAAAGAAGACCUUGUUGAGCUCGACAUUAGUUUGACUUUGUGAAAUGACGUGAUAAGUGGGAGCCCUAGGGCGAAAUUGAAAUACCACUACUUUUAACAUUAUUUUACUUAUUUCGUGAAUAGGAGGUAGGGCAUGGCCCUUUCUUUUAGACCCAAGGCUAGCCUCAGUUGGUCAAUCCCAACAGAAGACUUUGUCAGAUAGAGAAUUUGGUCGGGGUGGCACAUCUAUUAAAAGAUAAUGUAGGUGUCCUAAGAUGAGCUCAACAAGAAUAAAAAUCUCAUGUGAACAAAAGGGUAAAAGCUCAUUUGAUUUUGAUUUCUAGUACGAAUAUGAACUACAAAAGCAUGGCCCAUCAAUCAUUUAGACCUUUAAAAUUUGAGGCUAGAGGUGUCAGAAAAGUUACCACAGGGAUAAUUGGCUUGCGGCAGCCAAGCAUUGUGGUAGCCAAGCAUUCAUAGCAACAUUGCUUUUUAAUCCUUUGAUAUUGGCUCUCUCUAACAUUGUGAAGUAUAAUUCACUAAGUGUUGGAUUGUUCACCCGUAAAUAGGGAAUAUAAGCUAGGUUUCAGUCAUCAUGAGAUAGGUUAGUUUUACUGUACUGAUGGUAGCAUCACAAUAGUAAUUCAACCUAGUAUGAGAGAAACUAUUGAUUCACGCAAUUGGUUAUCAUGCUUCGUUGAAAUGCCAGCGGUGCAAAGCUAUCAUGCAUUGGAUUAUGACUGAAUGCCUCUAAGUUAGAAUCUGGGCUAGAAGCUAUGCAUGCACCCAUUGCUUAAUUGUUGACUUGAAGUAGGGGCCCAUGGCCCUUAAGGGCACCUGUCAUAGGUGCAGCCCCCAUAGCGGACAAGCCUCAAAGGUCUCUUUAGAGCU